RNAcentral lists this unclassified non-coding RNA (270 nucleotides) under Streptomyces aurantiacus. RNAcentral describes it as "partial 16S-23S ribosomal RNA gene spacer". The record is from RNAcentral. Lineage: Bacteria; Bacillati; Actinomycetota; Actinomycetes; Kitasatosporales; Streptomycetaceae.
AAGGAGCACAUAGCCGACUGCAAGCAAAUGUCUUGCACGGUUGCUCAUGGGUGGAACGUUGACUACUCGGCACGGUUUUCUUAUGGAUCACUAGUACUGCUUCGGCGUGGAACGUGAUUGCUGAGAGGGGAUUCGUGUCGGGCACGCUGUUGGGUAUCUGAGGGAAUGAGUUUCCUUCAGUUGCCGGCCCCAGUGCACUCGGGAGUUUUUCCCGGGGUGAUGGGUGGUUGGUCGUUGUUUGAGAACUGCACAGUGGACGCGAGCAUCUGU